RNAcentral lists this ribosomal RNA (460 nucleotides) under uncultured bacterium. RNAcentral describes it as "partial 16S ribosomal RNA". It matches the Rfam family "Bacterial small subunit ribosomal RNA", at positions 338 to 795 of the family's 1533-position model. The record is from RNAcentral.
CCUACGGGAGGCAGCAGUGAGGAAUAUUGGUCAAUGGACGAGAGUCUGAACCAGCCAAGUAGCGUGAAGGAUGACUGCCCUAUGGGUUGUAAACUUCUUUUAUAUGGGAAUAAAAUGUUCCACGUGUGGGAUUUUGUAUGUACCAUAUGAAUAAGGAUCGGCUAACUCCGUGCCAGCAGCCGCGGUAAUACGGAGGAUCCGAGCGUUAUCCGGAUUUAUUGGGUUUAAAGGGAGCGUAGGUGGAUUGUUAAGUCAGUUGUGAAAGUUUGCGGCUCAACCGUAAAAUUGCAGUUGAAACUGGCAGUCUUGAGUACAGUAGAGGUGGGCGGAAUUCGUGGUGUAGCGGUGAAAUGCUUAGAUAUCACGAAGAACUCCGAGUGCGAAGGCAGUUCACUGGACUGCAACUGACACUGAGGCUCGAAAGUGUGGGUAUCAAACAGGAGUAGAUACCCUUGUAGUC